CUGCGGCAGCGACGUUUAUGCGUUGUUGGGUAGGGGAGCGUUCUGUAAGCCUGUGAAGGUGGCCUGUGAGGGUUGCUGGAGGUAUCAGAAGUGCGAAUGCUGACAUAAGUAACGAUAAAGCGGGUGAAAAGCCCGCUCGCCGGAAGACCAAGGGUUCCUGUCCAACGUUAAUCGGGGCAGGGUGAGUCGACCCCUAAGGCGAGGCCGAAAGGCGUAGUCGAUGGGAAACGGGUUAAUAUUCCCGUACUUGGUGUUACUGCGAAGGGGGGACGGAGAAGGCUAUGUUGGCCGGGCGACGGUUGUCCCGGUUUAAGCGUGUAGGUGUGUGUUCCAGGUAAAUCCGGUUCACUUUAACACUGAGGCGUGAUGACGAGGCACUACGGUGCUGAAGCAACAAAUGCCCUGCUUCCAGGAAAAGCCUCUAAGCAUCAGGUAACAUCAAAUCGUACCCCAAACCGACACAGGUGGUCAGGUAGAGAAUACCAAGGCGCUUGAGAGAACUCGGGUGAAGGAACUAGGCAAAAUGGUGCCGUAACUUCGGGAGAAGGCACGCUGACACGUAGGUGAAGUGAUUUACUCAUGGAGCUGAAGUCAGUCGAAGAUACCAGCUGGCUGCAACUGUUUAUUAAAAACACAGCACUGUGCAAACACGAAAGUGGACGUAUACGGUGUGACGCCUGCCCGGUGCCGGAAGGUUAAUUGAUGGGGUCAGCGCAAGCGAAGCUCCUGAUCGAAGCCCCGGUAAACGGCGGCCGUAACUAUAACGGUCCUAAGGUAGCGAAAUUCCUUGUCGGGUAAGUUCCGACCUGCACGAAUGGCGUAAUGAUGGCCAGGCUGUCUCCACCCGAGACUCAGUGAAAUUGAACUCGCUGUGAAGAUGCAGUGUACCCGCGGCAAGACGGAAAGACCCCGUGAACCUUUACUAUAGCUUGACACUGAACAUUGAGCCUUGAUGUGUAGGAUAGGUGGGAGGCUUUGAAGUGUGGACGCCAGUCUGCAUGGAGCCGACCUUGAAAUACCACCCUUUAAUGUUUGAUGUUCUAACGUGGACCCGUUACCCGGGUUGCGGACAGUGUCUGGUGGGUAGUUUGACUGGGGCGGUCUCCUCCUAAAGAGUAACGGAGGAGCACGAAGGUUGGCUAAUCCUGGUCGGACAUCAGGAGGUUAGUGCAAUGGCAUAAGCCAGCUUGACUGCGAGCGUGACGGCGCGAGCAGGUGCGAAAGCAGGUCAUAGUGAUCCGGUGGUUCUGAAUGGAAGGGCCAUCGCUCAACGGAUAAAAGGUACUCCGGGGAUAACAGGCUGAUACCGCCCAAGAGUUCAUAUCGACGGCGGUGUUUGGCACCUCGAUGUCGGCUCAUCACAUCCUGGGGCUGAAGUAGGUCCCAAGGGUAUGGCUGUUCGCCAUUUAAAGUGGUACGCGAGCUGGGUUUAGAACGUCGUGAGACAGUUCGGUCCCUAUCUGCCGUGGGCGCUGGAGAACUGAGGGGGGCUGCUCCUAGUACGAGAGGACCGGAGUGGACGCAUCACUGGUGUUCGGGUUGUCAUGCCAAUGGCACUGCCCGGUAGCUAAAUGCGGAAGAGAUAAGUGCUGAAAGCAUCUAAGCACGAAACUUGCCCCGAGAUGAGUUCUCCCUGAGACUUUAGGUCUCCUGAAGGAACGUUGAAGACGACGACGUUGAUAGGCCGGGUGUGUAAGCGCAGCGAUGCGUUGAGCUAACCGGUACUAA
RNAcentral lists this ribosomal RNA (1728 nucleotides) under Salmonella enterica subsp. enterica serovar Bovismorbificans. RNAcentral's name for it is "partial 23S ribosomal RNA". It matches the Rfam family "Bacterial large subunit ribosomal RNA", at positions 1200 to 2904 of the family's 2925-position model. Lineage: Bacteria; Pseudomonadati; Pseudomonadota; Gammaproteobacteria; Enterobacterales; Enterobacteriaceae. The record is from RNAcentral.